This is an RNA transcript of Ictalurus punctatus (channel catfish), 848 nucleotides long. RefSeq lists it as uncharacterized. Lineage: Eukaryota; Metazoa; Chordata; Actinopteri; Siluriformes; Ictaluridae. The transcript is spliced from 5 exons. The record is from RefSeq and is a predicted model, not a curated record.
AUGGAUCAACUACACAACUUACUGUACAUAGUGAGAUACAUACCACUGAUUCUCACUGUAGCAACAGGCAGUUUUGCAAAUAAAAUCUGGCCAACGGACAAAAAUGCCAUCCUUGUCGGGAAAGAAACAGACACCGUUACUCUGAAAUGUUCAUAUGAGUCAAGCAGCAGUGUUUGGCUUUAUUGGUACAAACAACAUCCCAACAGUGCACCGCAGUUUUUAGUGUAUGUAGGUGGCAAUCCCACUGACACUCGAUUUCAGGCAACAUCAUCCAGUGACUCUACUGAACUUACUAUCAGAGGUCUAAAGCUCUCAGAUUCUGCACUUUAUCACUGUGCUCUUAGUAGAGUAGCACAGACGUGCAAGCGCGGACGAGAUCGCUGGGUGGUGAGAGUCACACUUACAGAGGACGCCGGCCCGGGAAAACCCCCGCCCCGUCUCGGGAGUCCCGCCCCCGCCACGAAUUACAGGAAGAUUUCAGAAUAUUUUCAUUUGGCAAAACCAUUCAUCAUGUUCACUGUAAUAUUUAUGUGUCUGUGGCUUUUAUCAGGUGACUCCAUGGCAGACCCAGUAGAGCCACAUCUCACUAGUAAAGUUGUAGAUGAAGGUGAUAAUGUUACUCUCUCCUGCAGCUACAAAAACAGUGCUUCAGUCCAGACUACCUGUACUGGUACAAACAAUAUCCAAAAUCCAAACCCGAAUACCUUCUUUUCCUUACUCCAAGUGGAUUUAAAAGUGACUCCAUCCCACAUCUGUCUGCUGAAGUUGAUGAUAAUAUUAAACGAGUGGAUCUGCUCAUCUCCUCUGCUGCUGUAUCAGACUCUGCACUAUACUACUGUGCUCUGCAG